GUUUGUGCCUUUCUGGCCUCGGAGGACAGCUGCUACAUCACCGGAGCCAGCCUGGAGGUGACCGGGGGUCUUUUCAUCUGACCAGCCGUCUCCGUUUCUCCGAAGCAAAAUAUCUCACUCCCUAAAUUGCACCAAAUAAAUGCACACCAGAAGAAAGGAGACCCCCGCUUUCUCCCUGAAGGCCACACUCUCUGGCCCAAGGAAGGAUUUUGGGGGGUGGUCCGUCCAUGGGGCCAUGCCUCGGCUAGACACCUUUUAAUGCAAAUCAGAUUUUAUUGCAAGACAUUUGAAUUAUUCUAAGGCAAGGAAGCUCAGAGGCCGGACCCUGGGCUUAUCCUCCAGGAUGGACAUUUAAUAAGAAAGAAAAGAGAACGUGUUUGGUCAUGUUGGGGGUCACCAGCUUGAUUUUUGCACUUUGGGGGUCGCCUAUUUUUCAGGUUUUGGGGGGUUUUCCUGAACUUGCCAAAAACGCGAAAGAGGCAGGAACCGACUCCGGCUGCGGAGGCAGCAAAGGGAAUUGUUUUAAUUAUCUGCGUGCCUUUGGAAUGGAUGGGCAAUGAGUUAAUUGUAUUCAAAUAAAUGUGAAUUCAGAAGAAGGAAA
Sceloporus undulatus (fence lizard) is the source of this 601-nucleotide long non-coding RNA. RefSeq lists it as uncharacterized. NCBI's taxonomy places the organism in Eukaryota, Metazoa, Chordata, Lepidosauria, Squamata, Phrynosomatidae. The record is from RefSeq and is a predicted model, not a curated record. The transcript has 2 exons.